CCGCGAGGGAACGGUGAAAAGUACUCUUGUAAAGAGUGUUAAAAGUACCUGAAACCGUACACUUACAAGCUGUCGGAGCCCGCAAGGGUGACGGCGUGCCUAUUGCAUAAUGAGUCCGCGAGUUGAUGAAUACGGCAAGGGUAAGCGGUUAUGCCGCGCACCCGAAGCGAAAGCGAGUGUGAAUAGCGCGUUGAGUCGUAUUUAUCGGACCCGAAGCCGAAGUGAUCUAUCCAUGAGCAGGUUGAAGCGGAAGUAACAUUCCGUGGAGGACCGAACCAAUGUAAGUUGAAAAUUACUUGGAUGACUUGUGGAUAGGAGUGAAAGGCUAGUCAAACUCGGUUAUAUCUGGUUCUCUCUGAAAUGCCUUUAGGGGCAGCGUCAUGUUAGAAGCCAUCGGGGGUAAAGCACUCUUUAGAAACGGGGGAGUAAAAUCCUACUUAUUCUUAAGAAACUCUGAAUACCGAUGGUGAAUUCAUGGCAGUGGGACUGCGGGGGAUAAGCUUCGUGGUCAAAAGGGAAACAGCCCGAACCGCCAGUUAAGGUCCCUAAUCAACGUUAAGUUACUAAGGAACUGAAUGUCCUAAGACAGCCAGGAUGUUGGCUUAGAAGCAGCCACCAUUUAAAAAGUGCGUAACAGCUUACUGGUCGAGGGUGUUUGGGCCGAAAAUGAACGGGAAUAAACGUUGAACCGAAGCUGCGGGUCGUAGAGCCAUGGGCGCUCUACGGCGGUAAGAGAGCGUUGGCGACAGCGUCGAAGGAGAGACGAAAGUCGAUCUGGAGCGUCGUCAAGUGAUCAUGCGGAAAUGAGUAGCGACAAAGAGGAUGAGAAUUCCUCUCCCCGAAAUCCCAAGGUUUCCGACGCAAGGCAACUCCGCGUCAGGGUUAGGCGGGACCUAAGGCGAGGCCGAAAGGCGUAGUCGAUGGACAGCAGGGUUAAUAUUCCCUCUCCGCCGCUGGAUUAUGAAGCACACGGGACGCCCCCAAUAUAUGCCUGAAGCCAUUGACUGGCUAGAGCAAUCGCUCGUUGGAUAAUUGAUGGGGGACUAGAAAAUCGUGUUGUGGAAUCCAGUCGGCGCCCGUACCGUAAACCGACACAGGUGGGAUGGUAGAGUAUACCAAGGGGCUCGAGAUAACUAACCUGAAGGAACUCGGCAACUUUGUCCCGUACGUUCGCAAAAAGGGACACCUGUUUCUCAGGGUCUUCGGACACAAGAAACAGGUCGCAGAGAAAUGGGAGAAGCGACUGUUUAUUAAAAACACAGGGCUAUGCUAACUCAAAAAGAGGAUGUAUAUAGCCUGACGCCUGCUCUGUGCCGGUCUGUGAAGGCAAGGGGUCAGCUCACGCGAAGCUCUGAACCUAAGCUCCGGUUAACGGCGGCCGUAACCUUGACGGUCCUAAGGUAGCGAAAUUCCUUGUCGGGUAAGUUCCGACCUGCAUGAAUGGCGUAACGACUUCUUCGGUGUCUCCAGGAUAGACUCGGCGAAAUUGAAGUUGUGGUGAAGAUACCACAUUCCCGUGGCUAGACGGAAAGACCCCGUGCACCUUUACUGUAAGCUGAUAUUGGGUUUUUGUUCAUGAUGCGUAGGAUAGCUGGGAGGCUUUGAGGCUUGGAUUUCGGUCCGAGCGGAGCCGUCGUUGGAAUACCAGCCUUUAUGCUCAAAAAUUCUAACUGCGUGCCGUUCAUCCGGGCGCAAGACAGUGUCAGCCGGGCAGUUUGACUGGGGCGGUCUCCUCCCAAAGAGUAACGGAGGAGCGCAAUGGUUCCCUCAUCACGGUUGGCAAUCGUGAGUUGAGUGUAAACGUAUAAGGGAGCUUGACUGCGAGACACAAGUGUCGAGCAGAGACGAAAGUCGGUGUUAAUGAUCCAGCGGUCCCGAGUGGAAGGGCCGUUGCUCAUCUGAUAAAAGGUACGCCGGGGAUAACAGGCUGAUCUCUCCCAAGAGUCCAUAUCGACGGGGAGGUUUGGCACCUCGAUGUCGACUCAUCGCAUCCUGGGGCUGUAUA
This 2005-nucleotide ribosomal RNA is filed under the name anaerobic digester metagenome. Its description in RNAcentral is "bacterial LSU rRNA". It matches the Rfam family "Bacterial large subunit ribosomal RNA", at positions 501 to 2559 of the family's 2925-position model. The record is from RNAcentral.